UGGUUUUGAUUUGAAAGGCGCUUUCGGGUGUCGCUGAUGGAUGGACCCGCGGUGCAUUAGCUAGUUGGUGAGGUAACGGCUCACCAAGGCCACGAUGCAUAGCCGACCUGAGAGGGGGAUCGGCCACAUUGGGACUGAGACACGGCCCAAACUCCUACGGGAGGCAGCAGUAGGGAAUCUUCGGCAAUGGACGAAAGUCUGACCGAGCAACGCCGCGUGAGUGAAGAAGGUUUUCGGAUCGUAAAACUCUGUUGUUAGAGAAGAACAAGGAUGAGAGUAACUGUUCAUCCCUUGACGGUAUCUAACCAGAAAGCCACGGCUAACUACGUGCCAGCAGCCGCGGUAAUACGUAGGUGGCAAGCGUUGUCCGGAUUUAUUGGGCGUAAAGCGAGCGCAGGCGGUUUCUUAAGUCUGAUGUGAAAGCCCCCGGCUCAACCGGGGAGGGUCAUUGGAAACUGGGAGACUUGAGUGCAGAAGAGGAGAGUGGAAUUCCAUGUGUAGCGGUGAAAUGCGUAGAUAUAUGGAGGAACACCAGUGGCGAAGGCGGCUCUCUGGUCUGUAACUGACGCUGAGGCUCGAAAGCGUGGGGAGCAAACAGGAUUAGAUACCCUGGUAGUCCACGCCGUAAACGAUGAGUGCUAAGUGUUGGAGGGUUUCCGCCCUUCAGUGCUGCAGCUAACGCAUUAAGCACUCCGCCUGGGGAGUACGACCGCAAGGUUGAAACUCAAAGGAAUUGACGGGGGCCCGCACAAGCGGUGGAGCAUGUGGUUUAAUUCGAAGCAACGCGAAGAACCUUACCAGGUCUUGACAUCCUUUGACCACUCUAGAGAUAGAGCUUCCCCUUCGGGGGCAAAGUGACAGGUGGUGCAUGGUUGUCGUCAGCUCGUGUCGUGAGAUGUUGGGUUAAGUCCCGCAACGAGCGCAACCCUUAUUGUUAGUUGCCAUCAUUCAGUUGGGCACUCUAGCAAGACUGCCGGUGACAAACCGGAGGAAGGUGGGGAUGACGUCAAAUCAUCAUGCCCCUUAUGACCUGGGCUACACACGUGCUACAAUGGGAAGUACAACGAGUCGCGAAGUCGCGAGGCUAAGCUAAUCUCUUAAAGCUUCUCUCAGUUCGGAUUGCAGGCUGCAACUCGCCUGCAUGAAGCCGGAAUCGCUAGUAAUCGCGGAUCAGCACGCCGCGGUGAAUACGUUCCCGGGCCUUGUACACACCGCCCGUCACACCACGAGAGUUUGUAACACCCGAAGUCGGUGAGGUAACCUUUUGGAGCCAGCCGCCUAAGGUGGGAUAGAUGAUUGGGGUGAAGUCGUAACAAGGUAGCCGUAUCGGAAGGUGCGGCUGGAUCACCU
This 1350-nucleotide ribosomal RNA is filed under the name Enterococcus faecium. Its description in RNAcentral is "bacterial SSU rRNA". It matches the Rfam family "Bacterial small subunit ribosomal RNA", at positions 190 to 1528 of the family's 1533-position model. The record is from RNAcentral. RNAcentral also lists the same sequence under 1 other name. Lineage: Bacteria; Bacillati; Bacillota; Bacilli; Lactobacillales; Enterococcaceae.